GCCACAUCAUUUCCCGGGCUUCGUAGGCACCUGCGGGGCGGAAACAGUUCAGCAGGGCCCUCCUGAUCACAAGGAUGAGGUCAUACCGGCUGCUGCACGGCAGGGCUGCACUCUGCCAUGGAGCGUCCUGUGAGGGAGGGGCUGCACUGCCACUUUACUGAUGAGGAAAUUAAGGUUCAGAGAGAUGAGGUCAUUUGUUAGAGGCCAGACAGCCUCCUCAGCCCAUUUCUAAGGUUGUUUCUGUGGUAUUUGCCAUAAAGCCAUAGGUUCAUUGAUUUGUUCUUAAGUAGUUCUGAGUCCUUCCUGCAUAUCAGGCAGGGACAAACGGGAAAGUCCCUGCCCUUGGCAAGUGCGGGGGAAAUGAAAUGAUUCUGCUCAGCCUCAUCCAUUGGUCUGAACAAUCACGUCUCAUGACCCCAGGGACACGGCUUCCCCUGAACGCGGAUCCUAGAGGCCAGGCAGAAGCAGCAUGGGUUUCCACUCACACGAUUUAUCUACUGCUCGUGAAAUCUCUGGAUUUAACUGUGAUGAAAGACCGGAGGCUGAAGGAGAACUUCAAUAUCAUAUAUUUUAAAGGUUGACUCACAGUUUGGAACAAGAAUUAAAGAACCACGAACUUCAAGGUAAAACGGGCAAUGGCGUUGGGGCAAGCCUCUCUGCAUCUGUGUGUCCAGCCUCUCCUGCGUGCCAGAAGUCCCCAGGCAGGAGUGUGGUGGGACAUCCGGCUGGGGUAAGGACAGGCACCCUCCCACUGUGUCAGGGCCCAGAGAGUGGGUGGAGAAGCUCUGCAAGAGACCUGUGCAAGGGCGCCUUGUAGGAGCCUGCCGUCCCCACAGGGGUGUUUGUGGAUAACACUUGGGGAGCCCUGGCCUUUUGGGGUCACGGAGGGCUUGGCCUCUCACCUCAGAGCUGCAGAGGAGACGCUUCUACAUCAGGACAUCAGAAGCUGGAACGGGGAUGGCCGGCGAGGGGCCUCUUGUUGGGGUCACAGAGAUGGGUCGCAGAGAUGGCCUGUGUGGAAGGUUGGAUUCUCACCCCACCUCUGCCCCUAGAUGUCCUGGUGACCCUCCCCUCUGUAGUCUUGGUUUUUUGCAAAACACUUAUGACCUCCUGCCAUACUGGGUACUUUGCUUAUGUAUUGUGUUUACUCUUUACUGUGUGUCUCUCCUGCUAAGGUCUACGAAGAAGGGUCUUUGUGGGUGGGGUUCUUAGAGGCAUCCCAAGUACCAGAAGCAGUCCCUGGACUAAGGGGCUCAAGAAAUAUUUUUUAUUUAUUAUUUUUUCUUUUUGAGAUGCAGUCUCUCUCUCUUGCCCAGGCUGGAGUACAGUGGCACAAUCUUGGCUCACUGCAGCCUUCGCCUCCUGGGUUCAAGUGAUUUCAGGCUAAUUUUUGUAUUUUUAGUAGAGACGGGGUUUCACCAUGUUGGCCAGGCUGGUCACGAACUCCUGACCUCAAGUGAUCCACCCGCCUCAGCCUCCCAGCGUGCUGGGAUUAUAGACAUGAGCCACCAUGCCUGGCCAAAUAUUUGUCAAAUUGAAUUUGUAUUUCCAUACAAAUUUUAGUCUGGAUGAAGUGCUUCAUGCCUGUAAUCCAAGCACUUUGAGAGGCUGAGGCGGGCAGAUGGCUUGAGCCCAGGAGUUUGAGACCAGCCUGGAAAACAUAGAGAAACCCCGUCUCAAUAUAAGAAGAAGAAGAAAAAGAAAAAAAAAAAAUCAAAAACGAAAACAACACAAAUUUUAGAGUAAGUAUUUUAAGUUCCACAAAAACCUGGUUAGGAUUUGGAUAGCAAUUUCUUUAGUUCUACAAAUCAAUUUGGAAAAAAUUAAUUAAUUUGGGAAGAAUUCAUUUUGAGUCUUCUAAUCCAUGAACAUGGUAUCUCCAUUUGUUUAGACCAUCUUUAAUGCCUGCUAAUAACAUUUCUGUAUAGUGACCUUGUACAUUAUUCUUAGAUUCUUGAUAUUUUGUGCUAUUAUGUCUUUUUAUAAAUUUUAUUUUUCCAACAUUGUUGCUAAUAUAUAGUAAGAAAAUGGAAUGUUGCCUAUGGAUUUUGAACCCAACAACUUUGCUAAACUCCUCUGAAUCCUCAGAAUUUCCCUGUGGAUUAUGUAGACUCUUCUGCAUACACAACCAUAUCAUCUGUGAAUAAAGACAGUUUUGUUUUCUUCUUCACAAACUUUACCCAACUCACUGUGCAGUCUGCCACAUCCAGGCUGAUAUUGAAUAGCAGCGGCACCAAUAGGUGUCUUUGUCCCCUUGCCAAUCUUGUAAAGAAAGCUUUCAACAUUUUCCUGUUAGCUGUGUUGGCAGCUCUGACUUUUUCCAUAGAUGGCCUUCAUCAGCUUAACAACGGGUCUUUUCUUCCCAGAGGGCUGAGCUUUUCCUUAAGAACAGACAGUGAGUGUCAUCAAACACUCGGCUGCAUCUGUUGAGAUGGUCAUACGACUUGUGUCUUUUCCUGUGUUUGUGUAUGAACUCUCUCUGGGUGUCUGAGAGUUCUUGUGACUUUCACAGAAGAACACAAUUUACCCUCCCGUGUGGGAAGGGGAAGGAGGCAGAGGAAGAAAGACCCCAAGUCCCCCUCAUCCCCACUGACCUUCCUGCUGGCUUCGUCCUUGAUUUGUGCCUCCUUAGAUCCUGCGUUUGACUACUUGCGGUCAUGAUGACAGGGCCAACCUCCUGACCAGGGCUGUUGGCACCUCCCCUCCUGCCCAGAGCCCCUGCUCCAAACCACUUCAUUCAUCUUCUGUACCCCCAGCCAAUAUUUCCCUGCCCAGUGUCAACCCAGGCCCAGAACCAGACCACAAGGGACAGCCCCGGAACCCAGAAUCAGACAAAUCAGCCCGUCCCAAGCUGUCUCCCCUGCUCUGCCCGGCUUUCCCAGGAAGCCAACAGAGGCUGUGGCUUGGCCUUUCCCUCGCUCCUUUCUGCCUCCUGGUCUGCCUGCGGCUUCCCCCUGCCGCCCUGCGGGGCCUGCCAUGUCUCUCAUUUCUAGCGAAUGUUUCCAGAGCGAUGUUAGACUUUCCUUUCAAUAGCGCUGACCUCUGUUAGGCACCUUUAUGGAUUAAGACCUGGGCAUAGAUGGUUUCUUCGGCAUCACGACCUGAAGGUGCUUGGGAGAGACGGUGAGGAGGAGAAUGCACCCUGCCAUGCUCUGCACUGCACAUGGAUGCAGAUUUUACCAUGUUGGCCAGGCUGGUCUGAAACACACGGAGCCCAAGCGCCCGGUGGACUCUCUGACGGUCCUCGGGCGUGUGCCAUUGUAAGCAGAGUAUUCAGCUCUCAUCAGGGCCUCGCCAGAGCAGAAAUGGUCUGUUGAUAAAUGCAUCGUAUACAAUUAUAAAUGUGCACCCAGCAUUGCUGCUUCCUCUUUUUUUUUGAUAUAGGGACUUGCUCUGUCGCCCAGGCUGCAGCGCAGUAGGGCAGUCACAGCUCACUGCAGCCUCAACCUCCCAGGCUCAAGCAAUCCUUCCACCUCAGCCUCCUGAGUAGCUGGAACUACACAUCCAGCUAUUUUUUUUUUUUUUUUGGUAGACACAGGAUCUCACCAUGUUGGCCAGGCUGGUCUUAAACUCCUGCGCUCAAGUGAUCCGCCCACCUUGGGCUCCCAAAGUACUGGCAUUACAGGUGGGAGCCACUAUGCCUGGCCUGCUUCCUUUCGCAAACAGGAAUCUUGUAAAUAGAAUUGAUCAGAACUUGUUGUUUAAUGUACACAGACCUCUAGCUGUACUGCAAAGCUGUGUGCACAUGUGUUAAGUCAUCUGUUCUAUGUGUUCUAAUUAUAAAUAAGAAAAAACAAAUUUCAAUCAGCCAUGCUGGAGGAAGAGCAAUUAUGUUUCUAUUCCUUCUAUCGUAGGUGAUGUAAAAUUCUCAAACAAUGAGAUAGAUAAAAAGUACGCAGCCAAAAAGUGCAGGAAGAAGUGUUAUGGAGAUGGAGCAGGCCCUUCGUAAAAACACGAUGUUGGUUUUCUGGAUUUUGUAUGUUUGCUUUUUUUUUUUCCUCAUCCUAAAGAAAUAUUCACUGUCAUACCUAA
Homo sapiens (human) is the source of this 4032-nucleotide long non-coding RNA. RefSeq lists it as uncharacterized. The record is from RefSeq and is a predicted model, not a curated record. The transcript has 2 exons. Lineage: Eukaryota; Metazoa; Chordata; Mammalia; Primates; Hominidae.